AUUGAACGCUGGCGGCAUGCUUUACACAUGCAAGUCGAACGGUAACAGGCCUUCGGGUGCUGACGAGUGGCGAACGGGUGAGUAAUGCAUCGGAACGUGCCCAGAGGUGGGGGAUAACGCAGCGAAAGCUGUGCUAAUACCGCAUAUUAUCUGAGGAUGAAAGCGGGGGACUAAGCAGCAAUGUUUGGCCUCGCGCCUUUGGAGCGGCCGAUGUCAGAUUAGGUAGUUGUGGGGUAAAGGCCUACCAAGCCGACGAUCUGUAGCUGGUCUGAGAGGACGACCAGCCACACUGGGACUGAGACACGGCCCAGACUCCUACGGGAGGCAGCAGUGGGGAAUUUUGGACAAUGGGCGAAAGCCUGAUCCAGCCAUGCCGCGUGCAGGAUGAAGGCCUUCGGUUGUAACUGCUUUGUACGGAACGAAAGGUUCUAUUAAUACUAGGUAG
This 445-nucleotide ribosomal RNA is filed under the name uncultured bacterium. Its description in RNAcentral is "bacterial SSU rRNA". It matches the Rfam family "Bacterial small subunit ribosomal RNA", at positions 30 to 470 of the family's 1533-position model. The record is from RNAcentral.